UCAUUCGGAUUCGCCAUCAUACGUCCAACCAUGCAUUUGAUAUGCAUAUCUAUGCAUCACGAGCCACGGUUGGGCUGUAUGAUGGCGAUACCGAUUGG
This 98-nucleotide microRNA precursor is filed under the name Triticum aestivum (bread wheat). RNAcentral describes it as "MIR9666 microRNA precursor family". It matches the Rfam family "MIR9666 microRNA precursor family". The record is from Rfam by way of RNAcentral. Lineage: Eukaryota; Viridiplantae; Streptophyta; Magnoliopsida; Poales; Poaceae.